AGGGGUGUAGUUCAGUGGUAGAGCACUUGCCUAGUAUGCACAAGACCCUGGGUUCCAUCCCCAGCAUCACAC
RNAcentral lists this transfer RNA (72 nucleotides) under Ictidomys tridecemlineatus (thirteen-lined ground squirrel). RNAcentral's name for it is "Spermophilus tridecemlineatus (thirteen-lined ground squirrel) tRNA". It matches the Rfam family "tRNA". Rfam says of the family: Transfer RNA (tRNA) molecules are approximately 80 nucleotides in length. Their secondary structure includes four short double-helical elements and three loops (D, anti-codon, and T loops). RNAcentral also lists the same sequence under 1 other name. The record is from Rfam by way of RNAcentral. Lineage: Eukaryota; Metazoa; Chordata; Mammalia; Rodentia; Sciuridae.